AGAGUUUGAUCCUGGCUCAGGAUGAACGCUAGCGGCAGGCUUAACACAUGCAAGUCGAGGGGUAACAGAGGUAGCUUGCUACUUGCUGACGACCGGCGCACGGGUGCGUAACGCGUAUAGAAUCUACCUUGUACUAGGGGAUAGCCUUUGGAAACGAAGAUUAAUACCCUAUAGUAAGUAUUUAUGGCAUCAUUUAUACUUUAAAGGUUACGGUACAAGAUGACUAUGCGUCCUAUUAGUUUGUUGGUGAGGUAACGGCUCACCAAGACUUCGAUAGGUAGGGGCCCUGAGAGGGGGAUCCCCCACACUGGUACUGAGACACGGACCAGACUCCUACGGGAGGCAGCAGUGAGGAAUAUUGGACAAUGGAGGCAACUCUGAUCCAGCCAUGCCGCGUGCAGGAUGACGGCCCUAUGGGUUGUAAACUGCUUUUAUGUAGGAAGAAACACUCUCACGUGUGAGAGCUUGACGGUACUACAAGAAUAGGGACCGGCUAACUCCGUGCCAGCAGCCGCGGUAAUAAGGGCGAAUUC
Molecule: ribosomal RNA, 533 nt
Filed under: uncultured Bacteroidota bacterium
Lineage: Bacteria; Pseudomonadati; Bacteroidota
Description: bacterial SSU rRNA
Rfam family: Bacterial small subunit ribosomal RNA
Source: RNAcentral